AAUGGCAUUCAAUAUAACAUGUCCCUACGGCGUACGUGUGAAGAGAGCGGCACGUGUUUGUACGAACACGUUUUUGCAAACAGAGGAUCCCAGCUCCAAGACAGUCUCAUGGAGUUUUCGUAGAAACAGAGACACGCCAAUCUUUGUCAUUUUUUUUUUUUUAAAUUUCCCAUUUUCUUGUUCUUCCAUAUUCAAUCUUCGAGGAAUCGUUGAGUUUUAGCAAAUGGCAAUUGCCAUGCGUGAUAUGCCAAUUGUAUUUCUGCUGUCCCAUUCUAAUAUAUUAAAGUGGCAACUUGGCACUAUCUUCUUUGGCUGCUGUAACUGUGUAAAAACCGAAAGGGGGAAAAUCUAAGGUCACAUGCUCAAAUCUUACUGGUCAACAGCUGCUCUGAGAGGUGUCAAAGAAAAAUAUGGGUAGAAAAUUUGUUUCAAUUCAAUUCAAACUAUUUUUAGUUGUUUAGUCGUGAUUUUACAAAGACGGAAUUGACAAUCAUAAACUUCUAUCAACGGUGUUUAUCAUUAAUAAAAUUUAAAAUAAUUUUGAUA
Molecule: long non-coding RNA, 546 nt
Organism: Cucumis melo (muskmelon)
Lineage: Eukaryota; Viridiplantae; Streptophyta; Magnoliopsida; Cucurbitales; Cucurbitaceae
Exons: 2
Source: RefSeq, a predicted model, not a curated record